UUCCCAGUCUUAAGACCUAAAAAACAAACAAACAAAAACUGAAACUAGAAAUUCCAUUUUACCCUACUAUUCCUCUUUUUAGGGGUUUUCCCAAAAGAGUUAAAGGCAUCAUAUUAUAGUGAUAUAUGCAUAUCUAUAUUUAUAGCACCACAAUUCAUAAUAGCUAAGUCUUGGAAAUGGCCUAUAUGUGCUUCAAUGGGUGAAUGGAUAAAGAAAAGGUGGUAUUUACACUCAAUAAAGUACUACUCUGCCAUGAAGAAAGAUAAAACUUGAGUCAUUUGUAGGGAAAUGGAUGUAUCUUGAAACACAAUGUUAACUGUAAUCAGAUGCACAAAAUUAAAUAUCACAUGGUUUCUCUUAUGCGAGAAACCCAAGUUAUAAGGAACAAAAUAAAAGAUAAUAGGAAUUAGGGAGAUGUAUCUUUCUCAAAGGAAAGUGACUAAGACAGAGGGCAAGAAGAGGGAAAGGGGAUGUAAAAAGUAAUUAAGAAGUGUUACAUGCAUCCACUUGGAAUGUAAAUAUGUCCUACAAACAUGUACUAAUAAAAACUAGGAUAAUCAUAUUUAAAAUAUUGUAGCCAUUAGUCACACAAAAAAUACUGAACCACAUACAGCCUGGUUUUAAAAAAAAGCCUAAACUCAAUACAACUUAGACUUCUCAGCUGACAGCACUUCAUCUCUUCACAAGGUCAUGGUGUACAGUAGUAAAAUUUAAAUAACCUAAAACCAUUUAAAUAUAAAUGUAGCCUCUUUAGAAAAUUUCAGCUCCCAUUCCACAAAUAUAUUCAUACAUCUAGAUCAGUAUUGGCUAUGUAAAGUACAAUCUUGAAGAAAAAUAUUUCAUGCAACCUUUUUUUCUCUUAAAAUCCAGGGUCUGCAAAAUUGUUAUUUGGAAAAACCAUGCUGGUGUUUUCAGCAAGCAUUCAGGAAGUGUCUCCUAUGUGUCAGAACAGCAGCGCAUGGUUCACAGGACAAGGUUAACAGAUAGAUUGAUCAGAAGCUUUGGGUAAAGCUCACAGAAGGAACCCAGGAUCACAUACCAUAACUUUGGAGCCAGAAAAGCUUUAGCAGUGCAGAUGAGAAACUUAAUGCCAAUUCAUUCAGCAAAUAUUAAUCAAGACCAACAUGCUUCUCUAGAAAUUUACUGCAGAACAGGUCAAACAAGACCUGAGAGUUGAUUUCUCAUCAGGAGGGGGAACAAAGAGACAAAUAAGGUGACAGAUUGACUUAAGUACUAUGAAGAAAAUAAGGUGAUGAGAAAAACAAAAACUGAGUAAGCUCUUUUCCUAGGCCUUGCUUAUUCUUUGCCUUUUGGAUAGUGAUACUGAAUAACACUGCAGCCUACAACCAUUCUACCCACCACUGAACUGAGGUUAUGAUAACUACUUGUUAUGGAUUAAGAACUGGUGGUCAACUUAACACCAGCUGGAUUACAUCAGCAUGGCAUUGAGCGAAGAUGCUCCACCUGAGGAAAAUUGCCUGGAUAAAUAGGUGGAGAAGAAAGGAGGUGUUGAAACAUUGGGAUGUUAAUGCGUUGUUGCAUUGAAGCAUUGUGGGUUCUCCUAUGAGUUGCUGUUUGAGCCAUUGGUUCUCCUGGGAAGAAGCUAUGGUCCUCACAUGGAGUAUUGCUUCCUGGCUCCAGAGGGGAAGGCAUGUGCCACUUGGUCUCCAGGAUGAACUUGUCACGCUGGCUUGCUGACACAUACCCAACUGUGUGUGUCGUCAGAGGAGCUCGGAGCCUCCGGUUCGCGGAGGAUGGCUGUGGUGCUUUCAGGAUAGCCCUGGUCUUUGUUGUGAGUGUGACUUCUCAGCUCCAGCAUAGAACCCUCAUCCCACAAGUACAGCUCCUUCACUCUGCCGGCAUGGACUUUCUGGCUUCCACCGCUGACCUUUGGGCCUUCCCAGCAUGGAUCCAUAAAAGACUGGCGUAGUCCUUCUUGUGGGCUCUGGACCUCCAGUUGGGAGACACUGUCAUGAGCUCUAGGUUUUUAUCUGGACUCAUGUGGGACUUUGCUGUGGGAUUUAGGCCUUUGACUAAAUAUUCUAUGUCUUUGUUGUCUCAGAUAGAUUUCCUGCAUUUUUGUGUGAACUCCCAGUGAUAUUAAAAAAUAAUAUAAACUCCA
Cavia porcellus (domestic guinea pig) is the source of this 2122-nucleotide long non-coding RNA. RefSeq lists it as uncharacterized. The record is from RefSeq and is a predicted model, not a curated record. The transcript is spliced from 2 exons. NCBI's taxonomy places the organism in Eukaryota, Metazoa, Chordata, Mammalia, Rodentia, Caviidae.